Molecule: non-coding RNA, 126 nt
Organism: Ailuropoda melanoleuca (giant panda)
Lineage: Eukaryota; Metazoa; Chordata; Mammalia; Carnivora; Ursidae
Source: Rfam
UGGAAACCAUGAAGUAGAGAUAAUCGGGUGCUGAAUGUUGUAUGAUUGGAAAUUUUUAUUAUGUAAGUUAUGUAAUCAAUCUAAGUAUUUUUUUUAAAAGGAGAGCAUCAUAAAAUUACACUCCAG